Schizopora paradoxa is the source of this 89-nucleotide transfer RNA. It matches the Rfam family "tRNA". Rfam says of the family: Transfer RNA (tRNA) molecules are approximately 80 nucleotides in length. Their secondary structure includes four short double-helical elements and three loops (D, anti-codon, and T loops). NCBI's taxonomy places the organism in Eukaryota, Fungi, Basidiomycota, Agaricomycetes, Hymenochaetales, Schizoporaceae. The record is from Rfam.
GCCGUGAUAGCUCAGUUGGGAGAGCAGUAGACUGAAGUGCUUAUGUAAGCGUCUUCUAAAGGUCACCCGUUCGAUCCGGGUUCAUGGCA